RNAcentral lists this ribosomal RNA (301 nucleotides) under uncultured bacterium. RNAcentral describes it as "partial 16S ribosomal RNA". It matches the Rfam family "Bacterial small subunit ribosomal RNA", at positions 509 to 808 of the family's 1533-position model. The record is from RNAcentral.
CAGUCGCCGCGGGAAUACGAAGGGUGCAAGCGUUACUCGGAAUUACUGGCGUAAAGCGUGCGUAGGUGGUGGUUUAAGUCCGUUGUGAAAGCCCUGGGCUCAACCUGGGAAUUGCAGUGGAUACUGGGUCACUAGAGUGUGGUAGAGGAUAGUGGAAUUUCCGGUGUAGCAGUGAAAUGCGUAGAGAUCGGAAGGAACAUCUGUGGCGAAGGCGACUAUCUGGGCCAACACUGACACUGAGGCACGAAAGCGUGGGGAGCAAACAGGAUUAGAUACCCCUGUAGUCCCUGUCUCUUAUACA